UACCUGCAGCUCAAGUGGUGACCGCUAUUAUUGGGCCUAAAACGUUCGUAGCCGGUUUGGUAAAUGCCUGGGUAAAUCGUGUAGCUUAACUAUACGAAUUCCGGAUAGACUGCCAAACUUGAGACCGGGAGAAGCUAGAGGUACUCCUGGGGUAGAGGUGAAAUUCUGUAAUCCUAGGGGGACCACCAGUGGCGAAGGCGUCUAGCUAGAACGGGUCUGACGGUGAGGAACGAAGCCCUGGGGCGCAAACCGG
This 253-nucleotide ribosomal RNA is filed under the name uncultured bacterium. RNAcentral describes it as "partial 16S ribosomal RNA". It matches the Rfam family "Archaeal small subunit ribosomal RNA", at positions 474 to 727 of the family's 1478-position model. The record is from RNAcentral.